CCCUGCUCAGCCAAACUCUGAUCCAAAGGAAGCCACCGCCGUCAUAUCCACAUCUAGCCAUACUUCGUUUGAAAGCUUCCCGGGCUCUGUGAGUGCUGGCUUUUGGGACCUAUUUUUGAGGGGAAAGAAUAUGGUCAUUGCUUCCUUCUGGAUACACUGAACCCUCGAUAAAGGACUUGGAGGUGGCUUGUGUGACUUUUACUGCUGAAGUAAAUAGGCUUUGUUUUAAGCCUGGUACCUAAUCAAUCCAGAACUUAGCUGUGUUUAUAUGCCACAGGGAAGUCAAAGCCAAUGCAUCUUGGAACUGACUGAAAGUAAAUGACCACUGUGUAGCUCCCUGUAUUAAUGCAUAAGGCCCUCUAGACUGAAAUAUACCAUGCAAAACAUGGCAUACAGAAAGACAUCUUGAAUAUUUCCUGUGACUAGUCAAGACCCUAUCAAGGAGGUGAUCAGUAUCAUCUGCACUCUAACUGAAUCUUGCAUUUAUACCCUAACUGAAACUUGCAUCCUUUUGUACACUGUUUCUCCUCUAUCUUUCUAGUUGGAACAUAUCCCUUAAUACACAGAUUUAGGGUUUAUCCUCAACAGUGUCAUUAGCUGACUGUCUAAUGGAAUCAACCUCUUUCUCUAUCUUUAUAUGAAAUUAUUUAUUUAUUUGGAUUUCCUCAUUAUCAGAAACAUACCCAUGCAAUUAUUUAAAGACUUGAUUUUGUCCUAAAUUAGGUAAAAUAGGAUAAUGAAAUGUGUAUCCAUAUGUAAUAAUCAAAUAGAGAACCCAAACCUAUUUGUAUCCAUAAUUUAAACAGAAUAAGUAAGGUAACUGCAUUAGUUUCCAAAUGCUGCUAUAACAAAUUUCUAAAAACUUAAUGGCUUAAAACAGCACAAAUUUAUUAUGUUACAGUUCUGAAAGUAAGGAGUCUAAAAUGAGUUUGCAAGGCUGCAUUCUUUCUGGAGGCUCUAAGGAAUAACCUGUGUUCCUGCCUUUUCCGGCUUUUAGAGGCUACUCACAUUUCUUAGCUUAUGGAUCUUUCCUCAUAUCACUCAGAUCUCUGCUUCUAUCAUCACCUCUCUUACUCAAACACCGACCCUCCUUCCUCUCUCUUAUAAGGAUGCUUGUGAUUAUGUUGGGCUUACCUAAACAAUACAGAUAAUCUCCACAUCUCAAAAUACUUAACAUUAUCACACCUAAAAAGUCCCUUCUACUGAGGUUAUAUAUUCACAGGUUUCUGGGACUGGGAUAUGAACACCUUCAGAGCUAUAUUCUGCCUACUACAAUAAGCAAUACCCAAGCUAGUAUUUUAUUUUGUGCCCGAGGAACUGUAUUUUCACAUCUCAUUUCAGCUAUGCUUGGUCAUUCUACAUCUUUAUCAUCCAAGGUGCAGAUGAAAUAAGAGUGUUUUGCUCUGUGGAAUAGUAGAAAGUGCAUUGGCUUUGGAGUCAGAAAGCCCUAUUUUCACACUCUGGCUUUUCCAUUGAGCCAACUGUAUGGCCAUGAACAAGACAUUUAACUUCUCUGAUCCCUGACCCUUUGAAUGUAGUGUGGUCCUCAAUAAAUGGUAGUUGCUUUAACAAAAUAAUAAUUAUUGUCAAAUUUCAAACCCCAGGCUCCCAGCUUUAUACCCAUUGUCUUUAUUCCUUCAAUGAGGGAGUCCCUUCUCUCGUCAUAUUUCCAGAAAUACUGUCAAUAUUCCUAUCAUGCUUUUCCCAAGUAAGGAAUGUGAACUCAAACCACUUUGUAAGUGUUGGAUCACACACUUCGGGCCAUGCCUUUCAUCCUGGCAGGAAGGCAGUGUGCAUGCUAUCCUGCCAGGCUCACUUGCUAUCCAGCCCAGUUCCUAAUACUCAUGAACCUUCCCAUGCUCUCCAACUCUUAGACGGAGAGAGCAUUUUUAUCUUUAACUCAUAUGAAUAAUGCUGGCAAAAUAAUUGCAGGUGAACAGUUAUUCCAAUUAACAGUGUUUUAAAGUCUAUAUUCUAAGAAGAGGAUUUACUAGAUUAUAAACUUAAUAUUGCUCAGAAAUAACAUUUCAUACACUUUAACGGUUUUUCUGCAAACUAUCCCCUAAAUUAU
Molecule: long non-coding RNA, 2071 nt
Filed under: Homo sapiens (human)
Lineage: Eukaryota; Metazoa; Chordata; Mammalia; Primates; Hominidae
Description: long non-coding RNA NONHSAT219378.1
Source: RNAcentral